Molecule: ribosomal RNA, 330 nt
Filed under: uncultured eukaryote
Lineage: Eukaryota
Description: partial 18S ribosomal RNA
Rfam family: Eukaryotic small subunit ribosomal RNA
Source: RNAcentral
CCCUUAGAUGUUCUGGGCCGCACGCGUGCUACACUGAUGCAUUCAACGAGUCUAAAACCUGGUCUGAUAGGGCUGGGUAAUCUUUUGAAAGUGCAUCGUGAUUGGGAUAGAUGAUUGCAAUUCUUCAUCUUCAACGAGGAAUGCCUAGUAAACGCAAGUCAUCAGCUUGCAUUGAUUACGUCCCUGCCCUUUGUACACACCGCCCGUCGCUCCUACCGAUUGAAUGAUCCGAUGAAUACCAUGGAUUGAGAGUACGAAUAGGUUCGCUUAUUUCUGCUGCUCGAGAAGUGGAGCAAAUCUUAUCAUUUAGAGGAAGGAGAAGUCGUAACA